UAGGGAAUCUUCGGCAAUGGACGAAAGUCUGACCGAGCAACGCCGCGUGAGUGAAGAAGGUUUUCGGAUCGUAAAACUCUGUUGUUAGAGAAGAACGUCAGUGAGAGUGGAAAGUUCACUGAGUGACGGUAUCUAACCAGAAAGGGACGGCUAACUACGUGCCAGCAGCCGCGGUAAUACGUAGGUCCCGAGCGUUGUCCGGAUUUAUUGGGCGUAAAGCGAGCGCAGGUGGUUUAAUAAGUCUGAUGUAAAAGGCAGUGGAUCAACCAUUGUGUGCAUUGGAAACUGUUAGACUUGAGUGCAGUAGAGGAGAGUGGAAUUCCAUGUGUAGCGGUGAAGUGCGUAGAUAUAUGGAGGAACACCGGUGGCGAAAGCGGCUCUCUGGACUGUAACUGACACUGAGGCUCGAAAGCGUGGGUAGCAAACAGGAUU
This 432-nucleotide ribosomal RNA is filed under the name uncultured bacterium. RNAcentral's name for it is "bacterial SSU rRNA". It matches the Rfam family "Bacterial small subunit ribosomal RNA", at positions 355 to 779 of the family's 1533-position model. The record is from RNAcentral.